This 233-nucleotide long non-coding RNA is filed under the name Ananas comosus (pineapple). Its description in RNAcentral is "long non-coding RNA (ACOM_LNC004538)". Lineage: Eukaryota; Viridiplantae; Streptophyta; Magnoliopsida; Poales; Bromeliaceae. The record is from RNAcentral.
AACACAGCAAAGGGUCGAAUGGGAGGAAUUCUACAUUGUCACACUUGCACCACGUCAUCAAUAACAAGCCAAUCACAUUCAUCCUUUUCAAACAAAAGUACAAUAAAAAUACUUUUUUACAAUCAUAAUGGGACAUAUAUUCUUAAAAGGAUUAAUUUGAUUGGUUUGUUACGCCACGUCACUAAUAUACCCGUUGCAUUCUAGAAUUUUUCGUCGAAUGGGCACCGCUCUCC